CCAAUAGCGUAUAUUAAAGUUGUUGCAGUUAAAAAGCUCGUAGUUGAACUUCGGGAUCAAUUAGUUGGUCAUGCCUUGGUAUGUACUGAUUUUAUUGGUUCUCACCUUCUAAAGAACUAUAAUGUCAUUUAUUUGAUGUUAUAGGGAAUUAGGACUGUUACCUUGAAAAAAUUAGAGUGUUUAAAGCAGGCUCACGCUUGAAUACAUUAGCAUGGAAUAAUGAAAUAGGACAUCGCAUUCUAUUUUGUUGGUUUCUAGGAUCGAUGUAAUGAUUAAUAGGGAUAGUUGGGGGCAUUAGUAUUCAAUUGUCAGAGGCGAAAUUCUUGGAUUUAUUGAAGACUAACUACUGCGAAAGCAUUUGCCAAGGAUGUUUUCAUUAAUCAAGAACGAAAGUUAGGGGAUCGAAGACGAUCAGAUACCGUCGUAGUCUUAACCAUAAACUAUGCCGACUAGGGAUCGGAUGAUGUUGAUUUUUUAAUGACUCAUUCGGCACCUUACGGGAACCCAAACACUUUGGUUUC
This 521-nucleotide unclassified non-coding RNA is filed under the name uncultured Glomeromycotina. Its description in RNAcentral is "SSU rRNA". It matches the Rfam family "Eukaryotic small subunit ribosomal RNA", at positions 591 to 1114 of the family's 1831-position model. The record is from RNAcentral. Lineage: Eukaryota; Fungi; Glomeromycota.